Molecule: ribosomal RNA, 1255 nt
Filed under: metagenome
Description: bacterial LSU rRNA
Rfam family: Bacterial large subunit ribosomal RNA
Source: RNAcentral
AGUGAUUUACGGAGAAGGAACUCGGCAAAAUGACCCCGUAACUUCGGGAUAAGGGGUGCCAGUGUUAGGUGAGGCCGUACAGGCUGAGCCGAAGCUGGCCGCAGUGAAUCGUCCCAAGCGACUGUUUAGCAAAAACACAGGUGUCUGCAAAGGCGUUUUCCAAGCCGACGUAUAGACACUGACGCCUGCCCGGUGCCGGAAGGUUAAGGUAAGUGGUCAGCCGCAAGGCGAAGCUACGAACCGAAGCCCCGGUAAACGGCGGCCGUAACAAUAACGGUCCUAAGGUAGCGAAAUUCCUUGUCGGGUAAGUUCCGACCUGCAUGAAUGGCGUAACGACUUGGGAGCUGUCUCCUCCGUAAGCUCGGCGAAAUAGCAGCAUCGGUGAGGAUUCCGAUUACCCGCGACAGGACAAAAAGACCCCAUGCACCUUUACUACAACCUGUCAUUGAUCGUCGAUAUACACUGCGUAGCAUAGGUGGGAGCCGUUGAGACCCGGUUUUCGGAUCGGGUGGAGGCAACAGUGAAAUACCACCCUUUGUUUAUUAACGAUCUCACUCGGCCGGCAACACCGGCGAGGACCGUGGCUGGUGGGUAGUUUGACUGGGGCGGUCGCCUCCCAAAAAGUACCGGAGGCGCGCGAUGGUGGGCUCAGUGCGGUCGGUAAUCGCACGUUGAGUGUAUACGCAAAAGCCCGCCUAACUGCGAGCGCGACGGCGCGAGCAGGGACGAAAGUCGGCGUAAGUGAUCCGGUGAUCCCGUAUGGAUGGGUCAUCGCUCAUCGGAUAAAAGGUACGCUGGGGAUAACAGGCUUAUCGCGCCCGAGAGUUCACAUCGACGGCGCGGUUUGGCACCUCGAUGUCGGCUUGUCACAUCCUGGGGCUGGAGAAGGUCCCAAGGGUCCGGCUGUUCGCCGGUUAAAGUGGCACAUGAGCUGGGUUCAGAACGUCGUGAGACAGUUCGGUCUGUAUCCGUCGUGGGCGUGGGAACGUUGAGGGAUCAGGACUCUAGUACGAGAGGACCGAGUCGUAGUGACCUCCCGUGUACGGGCUGUUCCGCCAGGGGCAGCGCCCGGUAGCGAUGUCACGCAGGGAUAACCGCUGAAAGCAUCUAAGUGGGAAACCCGUCCCAAGAUGAACGUUCCUGGAGCUUAAGCUCCCUUAAGGGCCCUGGGAGACCACCAGGUUGAUAGGCCGCAGGUGCACGGCGCGCGAGCGCUUCAGCCGAGCGGUACUAAUCGCCCGUGAAGUUUGAUCUC